Molecule: long non-coding RNA, 893 nt
Organism: Helicoverpa zea (corn earworm)
Lineage: Eukaryota; Metazoa; Arthropoda; Insecta; Lepidoptera; Noctuidae
Exons: 5
Source: RefSeq, a predicted model, not a curated record
AGAGAUGUAUAGUAAUAUUUAUUCACAGCUUGAGUUAUUUAUGUAAGGUUAGUCGGGCAAGCAGUGCUCAGUAACAAUAACAUGUAUCAGAAAUAACAGAAUUAAAUAUUUUUUAUUAAAAAAAUGCGCGGCAAACUAAGCUCGGGGAAGGACGAAAAUGCCGCUGCCCUCUUUUGCUUCCGUUAGGUACUUGCAAAAAAAAGAAGCGCGGAAAAAAAACAACACGAGUUUCAAAAUCCAAAGACAUUUAUGUUAUGACCCACCUGAAGCAAAUCACAAGGAAGUACAUAGGGGAAGUAAAUAAGCGAGUAUUCGAGAUGGGAGCAUAAAGGAGUAUAUAGCGACAGCUUGUUGAGGUCUGCCAGCAGGUCCUGUCCGGCAGGGUCCUCGGGCAUGUCGGCGCUGUCCUCGUCCAGCAUGGCGGCGAUGAGGCCGCAGUGGCAGCACACUUGCCGCAGCCGCAGUAGCAGCACCAAGAUCUCGUGGGACUUUACUGGUUUUGCUCCUGUUAAGGUGUUACCAGAAUUGCAUGGGACAAAGCGGAAACAGGGCUACAUAUAAUAUAGGAGAACAUUAACUUUUUAGAAUAAUAAGGGUUAGCUUCGAGCCUCCACAUGACCAAAUCCAAAUAAUUUGAGUCUUUAUAAACAUGGGUUAUGUGUGUAUAUCUUAGCAGUUUUGUAAAAAAAUAAGAAUAGGUUCAUGUUUAUUUCCUUUCCUUUGGACAAAAUUGUUUUAAUUAUUUUAUUUUUUUGUAUUGUUUGAGCAAUUUUGUAUGUUUAGAAUUGUACCUACUGCACGCCGUAAGGCAAAAUGUAUCGGGACUGUUGUAAAAUAUUAUUUCCAGCUAAUUUGUAUACCUACAUUUGGCAAAUAAAUGAUUCUUAUUCUUA